Molecule: ribosomal RNA, 476 nt
Filed under: uncultured organism
Description: partial 16S ribosomal RNA
Rfam family: Bacterial small subunit ribosomal RNA
Source: RNAcentral
ACGUACACUCCUACGGGAGGCAGCAGUGGGGAAUUUUGGACAAUGGGCGAAAGCCUGAUCCAGCCAUGCCGCGUGCAGGAUGAAGGCCUUCGGGUUGUAAACUGCUUUUGUACGGAACGAAACGGCCUUUUCUAAUAAAGAGGGCUAAUGACGGUACCGUAAGAAUAAGCACCGGCUAACUACGUGCCAGCAGCCGCGGUAAUACGUAGGGUGCAAGCGUUAAUCGGAAUUACUGGGCGUAAAGCGUGCGCAGGCGGUUAUGUAAGACAGUUGUGAAAUCCCCGGGCUCAACCUGGGAACUGCAUCUGUGACUGCAUAGCUAGAGUACGGUAGAGGGGGAUGGAAUUCCGCGUGUAGCAGUGAAAUGCGUAGAUAUGCGGAGGAACACCGAUGGCGAAGGCAAUCCCCUGGACCUGUACUGACGCUCAUGCACGAAAGCGUGGGGAGCAAACAGGAUUAGAAACCCUGGUAGUCCC